Molecule: long non-coding RNA, 778 nt
Organism: Anneissia japonica
Lineage: Eukaryota; Metazoa; Echinodermata; Crinoidea; Comatulida; Comatulidae
Exons: 3
Source: RefSeq, a predicted model, not a curated record
CCUUUUGAUCUGAUCCAUGGUUCCUAUUGCACUGAAUCGAACAGUUGGGGACACUAGAAGAAACGAUCUCGUCAACAACGUUACAGUAUCUGGAAUGGGGUGUAUUUUUCCCGGUAGUAUUUCGCCAUUAUGCAGUUGACUGAUAAUAAAUAACUGGUAUAGGCCUAUAUGCUAUUAUGGGGAUUGAUCAUAUAUGAUAGUCUGAAACCGGUGAUGACGUCAUCGUAUGAGACCUAGGCGGUACUCGGAGUUUCCGUUCUAUAUUUUCAAUGAGAAAAACACUUCCUAAACAACGCGGAAACAAGGUGGAGAUAGAUAUAGUAUGGACGCCGUUCAUUAUUAAACGUUCUUAUUGACUGGUAUACUAAAGUUCAUGGUUAUUUGCUGGCACGACGAUCUGAGUCAAGUGCGCGCGCCGCAUGAUAAAAGGACCAACAUCAUGUUACACCCACGUGCUCGUCCUGUUUAGCUAAACUAUUGGUGAUUGUUAUUUGCAGAUGUACCAUGCUUUUUUGGAAAACAUUAUACCGAUCUCAAAAGGAAACGUCAUGAAAAAUAACACUGUACCAAGAUAGAUCAUUUGAAACGCUACCUCACUUGGUUAAUGGAUGUAAUUUUCCUAACUUUUGAAUCAAAUCUUGCAUUGGAAACUAUAUAGGACACAAUUAGAAGAAGUCAUGGGUUGCCCUAUGUCAAAGAAAAUCGAAGGUUGGUUGCUGGCCAGAAAUUCUAAGCCACGCUUUUGGAGAAUUAUAAUGCUUGGACUGGAUGGAGCAGG